This 679-nucleotide long non-coding RNA is filed under the name Gossypium barbadense (sea-island cotton). RNAcentral's name for it is "long non-coding RNA (GBAR_LNC006811)". Lineage: Eukaryota; Viridiplantae; Streptophyta; Magnoliopsida; Malvales; Malvaceae. The record is from RNAcentral.
GCCAAGCCGCCUCAAUCAACCCGGUGCGAGUGGUGGUGUCAAAGUUUGCCUCGCAACUUAACUUGGAACAAGAUAAAUACAAGGAGAUCCUUAAAGGUGUAACAGGCAGCACUGGCCCUGGUGAAAUCCUAGCUUUGAUGGGUCCUUCUGGUAGUGGCAAAACAACCUUGUUAAAAAUAAUAGGUGGAAGGUUGACAGAUAAUGUGAAAGGGAACAUUACAUACAAUGACAUACCUUACAAUCCGGCUCUUAAACGAAGGUUAGCUCAUUUUUAUCGAAGCUUUUCUUUUUUUCGUCAUUCAGUCGAUUUUGAGUGUUUCAUUUUCUUGCAGGAUUGGAUUUGUGACACAAGAUGAUAUCUUGCUUCCCCAACUAACAGUGGAAGAAACCUUAGUUUUUUCAGCAUUUCUGAGACUUCCGAGUGACAUGAGCCUGCAACAAAAGUAUGCAAAAGUAGAGAUGAUUAUGAAGGAGCUAGGCCUUGAAAGGUAUGAACUAUGAUAUUCACUGGGAUAAUAAACAGAACUUUUACCUUCUUUUCUAAGUUAUCUGUUGCAUAACUGUAGAUGUCGUCACACGAGAAUCGGGGGAGGAUUAGUUAAAGGAAUAUCAGGAGGAGAAAGAAAAAGGACUAGUAUUGGCUAUGAAAUUCUUGUUGAUCCUUCAUUGUUGUUGCUUG